GAUGAACGCUGGCGGCGUGCCUAAUGCAUGCAAGUCGAGCGAACAGACGAGGAGCUUGCUCCUCUGACGUUAGCGGCGGACGGGUGAGUAACACGUGGAUAACCUACCUAUAAGACUGGGAUAACUUCGGGAAACCGGAGCUAAUACCGGAUAAUAUAUUGAACCGCAUGGUUCAAUAGUGAAAGACGGUUUUGCUGUCACUUAUAGAUGGAUCCGCGCCGCAUUAGCUAGUUGGUAAGGUAACGGCUUACCAAGGCAACGAUGCGUAGCCGACCUGAGAGGGUGGUCGGCCACACUGGAAGGGAGACACGGUCCAGACGCCUACGGGAGGCAGCAGUAGGGAAUCUGCCGCAAUGGGCGAAAGCCUGACGGAGCGACGCCGCGUGAAUGAUGAAGGUCUUCGGAGCGUAAAACUCUGUUAUUAGGGAAGAACAAAUGUGUAAGUAACUAUGGACGUCUUGACGGUACCUAAUCAGAAAGCCACGGCUAACUACGUG
This 497-nucleotide ribosomal RNA is filed under the name uncultured bacterium. RNAcentral describes it as "partial 16S ribosomal RNA". It matches the Rfam family "Bacterial small subunit ribosomal RNA", at positions 28 to 507 of the family's 1533-position model. The record is from RNAcentral.